UCUCAGGGCAUUGAUACCCACGGAAACCGUUUUGUGAAAGCUCAGUGAUGCGUCAGCAAUGAUAUUUAAUUCUCAGCCGAGUGAACUUUAAUCAGCAGUGUUAUUACAGGACCACAGAGCAGAGCGCCAACCUCGCUGCCAGGGGACCACACUUUAUUUAUGGGGUCUGGGGACCUCAUCGCCCAGGAGUUCAGACAAGCAAAGGAAUUUUUAAAACUCCGCCCUUGAAGAGGAAGCGGAGCCCUGGAGAAGGGAAUCCAGCUGAAGAGACGCCCGCAGGCUGGGGGACGGGGCGGCCUCCCAGUCCAGCCGACGGGACGCAGGGGCCGCUGCACGGAGGAUGUGGGAGCCUUUCCCGCGAGCUCUCCACAGGAGAAACACGGCGGGCGCAGUCAGGGGCGCAGACCGUACGACUUGAUGGAGUUCUGUGCACUGAGCGCCCCUGUGUGAGCACCCAAGGUCCCCGGCCGGCUCCAGGUCACGGCCAGCACCUGUGCCCCUCGGCCGUUCCCACCCGGCUCCCCAUCGUCUUCUGGUUUCCAGGGGGACCCGCUGUUUGGCUUUUAUUUCACGGUGACCAGGGGACACGCCCUUUCUGUCUGGCAUUUUGCCUGACGUCACGUGGAGGGACGGCUGCCUGGCCCUGGGGGCAGCAGGUCCCCCUUCCCACCACAGUGUGAGCACCACGCUCUGCCCAUCCACCCUGUGUGGAUGGACAUGGGGUCCUUCCCCACCUGGGGCCAUGUGCUCUGCCCACUCUGGAUCCGCGCUAGGUACUGGGCACCCGCAGCUCGGCCUCUCUCUAGGUGACCCCUCCACAUUCCAGGCUUCAGGUGCUCACGCCCUGAGGACCGCCUGUGACCGUGGGAACUGAGUUCUGAAUCGCAAGCUCCUCCGCGGAGCGUCCCCAGGACUCCCACCUGGGUCGGUCACUCCCGCCUAGCACGGGCCCCACGGCGCCCGCCCCCUCACGGCCCCCUCACCGCCCCCCUCACUGCCCUCCUUACCGCCUCCUCCCACCUUCCUGCUUCCGCGGCUUCACCUUUGUCCGGUGGCUACUGCUGCCUCAUAGAGCAGAUCUGUGGCCUUAGAAGGACGAUUCCAAAUGUCCCUGGACCCCGUGGGUCAGGAAUUCAGAGCACCAGGGAUGGCCUGUCUCCACUCCACGGUAUCUGGGGCCACCAACGGGAAGAUUCACAGCCGGAAGUGGUUGGCACUGGGACAAGAGUGGCAUCUCCACUCUGCUGUCUGGGGUCCAGCCAGGAGGACCCAGAGACCAGGGUGGAUGGCCAGAGCCCAUCUGUGGCCUCUCUGCAUGGCGUGCCAGCCACGAGCCACCCGUUGAGUGCUCCAGGGAGCAGAGACAGGGUGCGUGGCUCUGUAGGAGCGGCCUGGCUGCCGGCUGCCCGGUGACGCACUGCAGCCACCAGCCUGCUCUCCCUGCUCUUGUUCCAGGGGGGAAAGCGGGACUCGCCCCCUAAAGAGGAGGUUACCCUAAGGAUGGGGGCCACUUCUGUCGGCUGCGUCUUUGGGAAACAGUCCGCCGUCCUGCAACAUCAGAAGUGCACCGUGCUGCCCUGCCGCCAUCUUCCUCGGGGCUCCAGGACGCCAUGUCCCUCUUUAUCACGGGUGCUGCUGGUGGUCAUCUCUGUAGGCCAGGAUGGCACUGGCCGCACAGGUGCUGGUGCACCACAGGAGAAGCAGGUGGAGACGAUGCACCUGGGUAAGGUCUCGAGAUGUCCCUGAAGAGGCAUUUUGGACGCAGAGUGGAUAAAAGAGGACACAUCCAUGGGCAGUGCCUCAUAAUCUUCUUUGUCUCCCUGAAGCCGCCUCUAUCCCUUUCUGUGGUCAUCUGCUCUGGGGGUCUCAGGGAGCCCCUGCCGGUGCCGAGCCCCCGGAUGCCUCCUGGUGCGAGCCCCGUUAGCCAGUCAGUGCGGAUGGCAGAUAAGGUAUUCCGCUGCUUCCUGGGGUUUCCUUUCACUCCAGUGGGAAAGCUUCACUCCUUGGGCAGAAGGCUCCUGGUGUCCCCCAAGUCGAUGUUCUAUUCUGACUCAGCCCAGUGCAGAAGUUGCCAGGGAGGCCGGCGGCUCCUUGAGGCCCGUCCACCAGCUCCGAUCCAUUAUUAAUCACUGUAAAUCUGGAAUAAUCUCUACAAACAUAUUUUGUUCCCUACAAAUAUAUUUGUGCCAACCUUCCCUAAUAAAUCUUGUGUCAGGGA
Ictidomys tridecemlineatus (thirteen-lined ground squirrel) is the source of this 2218-nucleotide non-coding RNA. The record is from RefSeq and is a predicted model, not a curated record. NCBI's taxonomy places the organism in Eukaryota, Metazoa, Chordata, Mammalia, Rodentia, Sciuridae.